GAGAGGGGUGGGCCCGCCUGGAGCCCCCGGCAGGGUGCAGCUCCGGAGCGCACUUCCCCUCCUGGCUGGGCCUCUGUCACCAUUUUCUCCAGUCAUAACCAGCUGCACACAUGCAUGUGCAGGCCCUGACCUUCCUGGUUUUAACAGGGCUGCGGGUUCCCACAGCGAUUGUCUCUGUGUCUAGAAUCAGUGGCUGCUUGAAAGUGCUGAGUGUGCUUCCCAGUGGAGACCCCAUCAGCAGGUGUUUUAGAACCUAUUAACUGUUUGGUUCAUCAAAGGCACAAACAGUAUGGCCCCUCAGUGAAGAGGGCUCCAGCUCCCGCCCCCAUCCCGGCAGAUGUUGGGUUCACCGGCAACGCUCGGCCCGUCUGUGUGGCAGGGCUGGUGCCAAGGCCCAGGACACUGGGGAGCAGCCUGGAGCUGUCCCUCAGGGAGCUGUCCCUUGAGCGAGGAGAGGGUGUGCAUUUCUGGGGGCUGGCCUCUGCUGCCCAGGAGUCUCUGGUGCUCCGGGCUCAGAGGUCCUGGAGCAGGCAGGGAGACCAUGUGGUGAGAGGCUUAGCAGGAUGGCCACCCUUGACUGGGAGGAGGGGCAGGACAGGCUGUAGCUACAGGGUCAUUUGGGGAAGGCCAUGCCCAGGCUGGGAAUGAGGGCCCUGAGGAAGUCUGGGGGCUUGUGGGGUGUUAACAUUUGGCCCUUCUAAGAGAGAAGAGAGAAAUAAUGCCCCUGGGGGCCCCCUGGGCAGGUGGAACCACGAUGCAGAAUAUCUGCCACACCCAGGGAAAAUAGCCCAUCUCAGCAACAGACCAGAGAGGCCGGGAGGUGACCGGGCACUGCAGGCUUCUGUGCUGCCAGGGGCCAGGCUGCAGACCCAAACCACCACCAGCUCUUCAAACGUGCCAUCCAGGGUGUUGACCACCAUUUGGCAGAGAAUGACUGGGGGCUGUCCCUGGAAAGGCCACAUGGAGCAAGGGAGCCCCCAGAGAGUAGCUAAAGGGGGAUGUGGGUGGGCUGGGCCUAGAGCAGGACGAUAGCCUGGCCUCUGUGAACUCCUAAUGCAGUGACCUGCCUGGCUGCACCGAGCUGUGGCUGGACAGCAAGAGGCAAUGACCAGGUGCUUGGGGCUCACUUGGCUCACAGGGAGCUCAGUGCUUGGCCAGGGCAGCACCAGCAGCACAGUGGGCCCCUCAUGGCCUGGGCACGUGAGGCCAUGCCACCUGGGCUCCGCAGCCAGCCUGGCGGCCUGGAAACUCCUGCCACUGAGCUUACCAACAAAGGCUGACUCCCCUCCCCGGGCUGCACAGAAUAGACGGCUCGGGACCCAGACCCCACCGUGUCCGGAUCCUUUUGCUUUGCUUUGCUUCCUAGAUGGUCAGAGGGCAUCAGAAUGUCCUCCGAAGCAUCAGCCCCUCUAAGGAGCUUUGGGUACAGCCCUGGGUAGAACAGCAGAGCUUUGGUGUAGAUGUAAAGAUUCACUGGGGGGGAAAUUCCUCCAGAUCUGGUGACAUUUGGACAGAAAUCAGAGCCUCACAGGGACAAGGGGGUGGAAUUGGGGCCCGAUGAGCCCAGGGCACCAGUAUCUCGAUAGUCCCAUGGCAGCCAAGGGCUCGGGCCGGAUUCAAUGUGGGCUAACUUCGUUGCUUGUCAAAUCUUCCGCUCCAUUAGGAAUAUUGACAGUGGUGAUAAAUGGAUAGAUGAAGGCCAGGCAUGAGGUCUGAAGUUGUCUUCAUUAGGGGUUCGCCGGGGCCUGCGGGGAGCCGGCUGUCUGCCCUGUACCUGUGACACCAAGGAGAGGCAUGUGGAGGGUGCCCGGUGGGCAGCUGGAAGGCCUCUGUCUGUCUGUCUCUAUUGGGGUGCAAGGUGAGAGGCCCGGGCAGCCCUGCAGCUCCAGGGAGGCUCCUCAGCAAGGCACAGGUGUUUUUGGAGGGGGCUUUGCAGCAGGGACC
This 1944-nucleotide long non-coding RNA is filed under the name Marmota monax (woodchuck). The record is from RNAcentral. Lineage: Eukaryota; Metazoa; Chordata; Mammalia; Rodentia; Sciuridae.